This 1553-nucleotide ribosomal RNA is filed under the name Shigella flexneri. Its description in RNAcentral is "bacterial SSU rRNA". It matches the Rfam family "Bacterial small subunit ribosomal RNA". Lineage: Bacteria; Pseudomonadati; Pseudomonadota; Gammaproteobacteria; Enterobacterales; Enterobacteriaceae. The record is from RNAcentral.
AAAUUGAAGAGUUUGAUCAUGGCUCAGAUUGAACGCUGGCGGCAGGCCUAACACAUGCAAGUCGAACGGUAACAGGAAACAGCUUGCUGUUUCGCUGACGAGUGGCGGACGGGUGAGUAAUGUCUGGGAAACUGCCUGAUGGAGGGGGAUAACUACUGGAAACGGUAGCUAAUACCGCAUAACGUCGCAAGACCAAAGAGGGGGACCUUCGGGCCUCUUGCCAUCGGAUGUGCCCAGAUGGGAUUAGCUAGUAGGUGGGGUAACGGCUCACCUAGGCGACGAUCCCUAGCUGGUCUGAGAGGAUGACCAGCCACACUGGAACUGAGACACGGUCCAGACUCCUACGGGAGGCAGCAGUGGGGAAUAUUGCACAAUGGGCGCAAGCCUGAUGCAGCCAUGCCGCGUGUAUGAAGAAGGCCUUCGGGUUGUAAAGUACUUUCAGCGGGGAGGAAGGGAGUAAAGUUAAUACCUUUGCUCAUUGACGUUACCCGCAGAAGAAGCACCGGCUAACUCCGUGCCAGCAGCCGCGGUAAUACGGAGGGUGCAAGCGUUAAUCGGAAUUACUGGGCGUAAAGCGCACGCAGGCGGUUUGUUAAGUCAGAUGUGAAAUCCCCGGGCUCAACCUGGGAACUGCAUCUGAUACUGGCAAGCUUGAGUCUCGUAGAGGGGGGUAGAAUUCCAGGUGUAGCGGUGAAAUGCGUAGAGAUCUGGAGGAAUACCGGUGGCGAAGGCGGCCCCCUGGACGAAGACUGACGCUCAGGUGCGAAAGCGUGGGGAGCAAACAGGAUUAGAUACCCUGGUAGUCCACGCUGUAAACGAUGUCGACUUGGAGGUUGUGCCCUUGAGGUGUGGCUUCCGGAGCUAACGCGUUAAGUCGACCGCCUGGGGAGUACGGCCGCAAGGUUAAAACUCAAAUGAAUUGACGGGGCCCGCACAAGCGGUGGAGCAUGUGGUUUAAUUCGAUGCAACGCGAAGAACCUUACCUGGUCUUGACAUCCACGGAAGUUUUCAGAGAUGAGAAUGUGCCUUCGGGAACCGUGAGACAGGUGCUGCAUGGCUGUCGUCAGCUCGUGUUGUGAAAUGUUGGGUUAAGUCCCGCAACGAGCGCAACCCUUAUCCUUUGUUGCCAGCGGUCCGGCCGGGAACUCAAAGGAGACUGCCAGUGAUAAACUGGAGGAAGGUGGGGAUGACGUCAAGUCAUCAUGGCCCUUACGACCAGGGCUACACACGUGCUACAAUGGCGCAUACAAAGAGAAGCGACCUCGCGAGAGCAAGCGGACCUCAUAAAGUGCGUCGUAGUCCGGAUUGGAGUCUGCAACUCGACUCCAUGAAGUCGGAAUCGCUAGUAAUCGUGGAUCAGAAUGCCACGGUGAAUACGUUCCCGGGCCUUGUACACACCGCCCGUCACACCAUGGGAGUGGGUUGCAAAAGAAGUAGGUAGCUUAACCUUCGGGAGGGCGCUUACCACUUUGUGAUUCAUGACUGGGGUGAAGUCGUAACAAGGUAACCGUAGGGGAACCUGCGGUUGGAUCACCUCCUUACCUUAAAGAAGC